UAGUGGCGCACGGGUGAGUAUACCAUAGAUAAUGUACCUCUUAGUUCGGGAUAGCCACUGGAAACGGUGAUUAAUACCGGAUACUCCUUCUUGUCUCAAGGCAAGUCGGGAAAGUUUUUUCGCUAAGAGAUCAGUCUAUGUCCUAUCAGCUAGUUGGUGAGGUAAUGGCUCACCAAGGCUAUGACGGGUAUCUGGUUUGAGAGGAUGAUCAGACACACUGGAACUGAGACACGGUCCAGACUCCUACGGGAGGCAGCAGUGAGGAAUAUUGCACAAUGGAGGAAACUCUGAUGCAGCAACGCCGCGUGGAGGAUGACGCAUUUCGGUGUGUAAACUCCUUUUAAGAGGGAAGAUAAUGACGGUACCUCUUGAAUAAGCACCGGCUAACUCCGUGCCAGCAGCCGCGGUAAUACGGAGGGUGCAAGCGUUACUCGGAAUCACUGGGCGUAAAGGGUGCGUAGGCUGGCUUUUAAGUCAGAUGUGAAAUCCAAUGGCUUAACCAUUGAACUGCAUUUGAAACUGGGAGCCUAGAGUUCAGAAGGGGCAGAUGGAAUUAGUGGUGUAGGGGUAAAAUCCGUAGAUAUCACUAGGAAUAUCAAAAGCGAAGGCGAUCUGCUGGG
RNAcentral lists this ribosomal RNA (620 nucleotides) under uncultured Campylobacterota bacterium. RNAcentral describes it as "bacterial SSU rRNA". It matches the Rfam family "Bacterial small subunit ribosomal RNA", at positions 93 to 733 of the family's 1533-position model. The record is from RNAcentral. Lineage: Bacteria; Pseudomonadati; Campylobacterota.